GAUGAACGCUGACAGAAUGCUUAACACAUGCAAGUCAUUGGCGAAGCUGCGCUUGCGCAGUCUAGCCAAGGCGGACGGGUGAGUAACGCGUAAGGAACUUGCCCUGCAGACAGGGAUAACAGACGGAAACGACUGAUAACACCUGGUAUUGUCAGGCUGGCGCAUGCCGGCCUGAUGAAAGGAGACGCUGCAGGAGAGCCUUGCGUCCUAUUAGCUAGUUGGUGGGGUAACGGCCCACCAAGGCGAUGAUAGGUAGCCGGCCUGAGAGGGUGAACGGCCACAAGGGGACUGAGAUCCGGCCCUUACUCCUACGGGAGGCAGCAGUGGGGAAUAUUGGACAAUGGGGGCAACCCUGAUCCAGCAAUUCUGUGUGCACGAAGAAGGUUUUCGGAGUGUAAAGUGCUUUCAGCAGGGAAGAAGAAAGUGACGGUACCUGCAGAAGAAGCGACGGCUAAAUACGUG
RNAcentral lists this ribosomal RNA (462 nucleotides) under uncultured bacterium. RNAcentral describes it as "partial 16S ribosomal RNA". It matches the Rfam family "Bacterial small subunit ribosomal RNA", at positions 28 to 507 of the family's 1533-position model. The record is from RNAcentral.